UACGGAGGGUGCGAGCGUUGUCCGGAAUCACUGGGCGUAAAGGGCGCGUAGGCGGCCUGAUAAGUAGGGGGUGAAAUCCUGCGGCUUAACCGCAGGGCUGCCUUCUAAACUGUCAGGCUCGAGCACAGUAGAGGCAGAUGGAAUUCCCGGUGUAGCGGUGGAAUGCGUAGAGAUCGGGAAGAAUACCAGUGGCGAAGGCGUUCUGCUGGGCCGUUGCUGACACUGAGGCGCGACAGCGUGGGGAGCAAACGGG
Molecule: ribosomal RNA, 253 nt
Filed under: uncultured bacterium
Lineage: Bacteria
Description: partial 16S ribosomal RNA
Rfam family: Bacterial small subunit ribosomal RNA
Source: RNAcentral